Molecule: ribosomal RNA, 473 nt
Filed under: uncultured bacterium
Lineage: Bacteria
Description: bacterial SSU rRNA
Rfam family: Bacterial small subunit ribosomal RNA
Source: RNAcentral
AGGGUUUGAUUAUGGCUCAGAACGUACGCUGGCGGCACGCCUAACACAUGCAAGUCGAACGAAGUAGCAAUACUUAGUGGCAGACGGGUGAGUAACAUGUGGGUAUCUACCCUUUGGCCUGGAAUAACACGAGGAAACUUGUGCUAAUACCGGAUAAGUCUUUACGGAGAAAGCUUUAUGCACCAUUGGAUGAGCCCGCACUUGAUUAGUUUGUUGGUGGGGUAAUGGCCUACCAAGACUGUGAUCAAUAGCUGAUUUGAGAGGAUGAUCAGCCACAUUGGGACUGAGACACGGCCCAAACUCCUACGGGAGGCAGCAGUGGGGAAUCUUGCACAAUGGAGGAAACUCUGAUGCAGCGAUGCCGCGUGAGUGAAGAAGGCCCUUGGGUUGUAAAGCUCUUUCGUCGGGGAAGAAAAUGACUGUACCCGAAUAAGAAGGUCCGGCUAACUUCGUGCCAGCAGCCGCGGUAAUAC